Molecule: ribosomal RNA, 2933 nt
Filed under: Yersinia pestis 9
Lineage: Bacteria; Pseudomonadati; Pseudomonadota; Gammaproteobacteria; Enterobacterales; Yersiniaceae
Description: bacterial LSU rRNA
Rfam family: Bacterial large subunit ribosomal RNA
Source: RNAcentral
GGGUUGUGAGGUUAAGCGACUAAGCGUACACGGUGGAUGCCUAGGCAGUCAGAGGCGAUGAAGGGCGUGCUAAUCUGCGAAAAGCGUCGGUAAGCUGAUAUGAAGCGUUAUAACCGACGAUACCCGAAUGGGGAAACCCAGUGCAAUACGUUGCACUAUCGUUAGAUGAAUACAUAGUCUAACGAGGCGAACCGGGGGAACUGAAACAUCUAAGUACCCCGAGGAAAAGAAAUCAACCGAGAUUCCCCCAGUAGCGGCGAGCGAACGGGGAGGAGCCCAGAGUCUGAAUCAGUUUGUGUGUUAGUGGAAGCGUCUGGAAAGUCGCACGGUACAGGGUGAUAGUCCCGUACACCAAAAUGCACAGGCUGUGAACUCGAUGAGUAGGGCGGGACACGUGACAUCCUGUCUGAAUAUGGGGGGACCAUCCUCCAAGGCUAAAUACUCCUGACUGACCGAUAGUGAACCAGUACCGUGAGGGAAAGGCGAAAAGAACCCCGGCGAGGGGAGUGAAAUAGAACCUGAAACCGUGUACGUACAAGCAGUGGGAGCACCUUCGUGGUGUGACUGCGUACCUUUUGUAUAAUGGGUCAGCGACUUAUAUUUUGUAGCAAGGUUAACCGAAUAGGGGAGCCGUAGGGAAACCGAGUCUUAACUGGGCGUCUAGUUGCAAGGUAUAGACCCGAAACCCGGUGAUCUAGCCAUGGGCAGGUUGAAGGUUGGGUAACACUAACUGGAGGACCGAACCGACUAAUGUUGAAAAAUUAGCGGAUGACUUGUGGCUGGGGGUGAAAGGCCAAUCAAACCGGGAGAUAGCUGGUUCUCCCCGAAAGCUAUUUAGGUAGCGCCUCGUGAACUCAUCUUCGGGGGUAGAGCACUGUUUCGGCUAGGGGGCCAUCCCGGCUUACCAAACCGAUGCAAACUCCGAAUACCGAAGAAUGUUAUCACGGGAGACACACGGCGGGUGCUAACGUCCGUCGUGAAGAGGGAAACAACCCAGACCGCCAGCUAAGGUCCCAAAGUCAUGGUUAAGUGGGAAACGAUGUGGGAAGGCACAGACAGCCAGGAUGUUGGCUUAGAAGCAGCCAUCAUUUAAAGAAAGCGUAAUAGCUCACUGGUCGAGUCGGCCUGCGCGGAAGAUGUAACGGGGCUAAACCAUGCACCGAAGCUGCGGCAGCGACGUUUAGGCGUUGUUGGGUAGGGGAGCGUUCUGUAAGCCGUUGAAGGUGACCUGUGAGGGUUGCUGGAGGUAUCAGAAGUGCGAAUGCUGACAUAAGUAACGAUAAUGCGGGUGAAAAACCCGCACGCCGGAAGACCAAGGGUUCCUGUCCAACGUUAAUCGGGGCAGGGUGAGUCGACCCCUAAGGCGAGGCUGAAAAGCGUAGUCGAUGGGAAACAGGUUAAUAUUCCUGUACUUGGUGUUACUGCGAAGGGGGGACGGAGAAGGCUAGGCUGGCCGGGCGACGGUUGUCCCGGUUUAAGCGUGUAGGGGGAGUGACCAGGUAAAUCCGGUUGCUUAUCAACCUGAGGCGUGAUGACGAUGCACCACGGUGCAGAAGCAGUUGAUGCCAUGCUUCCAGGAAAAGCCUCUAAGCAUCAGGUAACAUUAAAUCGUACCCCAAACCGACACAGGUGGUCAGGUAGAGAAUACUCAGGCGCUUGAGAGAACUCGGGUGAAGGAACUAGGCAAAAUGGUGCCGUAACUUCGGGAGAAGGCACGCUGGCGUUAGGUGAAAGGACUAGCUCCUGGAGCUGAAGCCAGUCGCAGAUACCAGCUGGCUGCAACUGUUUAAUAAAAACACAGCACUGUGCAAACACGAAAGUGGACGUAUACGGUGUGACGCCUGCCCGGUGCUGGAAGGUUAAUUGAUGGGGUCAGCCGCAAGGCGAAGCUCUUGAUCGAAGCCCCAGUAAACGGCGGCCGUAACUAUAACGGUCCUAAGGUAGCGAAAUUCCUUGUCGGGUAAGUUCCGACCUGCACGAAUGGCGUAAUGAUGGCCAGGCUGUCUCCACCCGAGACUCAGUGAAAUUGAACUCGCUGUGAAGAUGCAGUGUACCCGCGGCAAGACGGAAAGACCCCGUGAACCUUUACUAUAGCUUGACACUGAACAUUGAGCCUUGAUGUGUAGGAUAGGUGGGAGGCCUUGAAGUGUGGACGCCAGUCUGCAUGGAGCCAACCUUGAAAUACCACCCUUUAAUGUUUGAUGUUCUAACUCGGCCCCAUGAUCUGGGGUGAGGACAGUGUCUGGUGGGUAGUUUGACUGGGGCGGUCUCCUCCCAAAGAGUAACGGAGGAGCACGAAGGUUAGCUAAUCACGGUCGGACAUCGUGAGGUUAGUGCAAAGGCAUAAGCUAGCUUGACUGCGAGAGUGACGGCUCGAGCAGGUACGAAAGUAGGUCUUAGUGAUCCGGUGGUUCUGAAUGGAAGGGCCAUCGCUCAACGGAUAAAAGGUACUCCGGGGAUAACAGGCUGAUACCGCCCAAGAGUUCAUAUCGACGGCGGUGUUUGGCACCUCGAUGUCGGCUCAUCACAUCCUGGGGCUGAAGUAGGUCCCAAGGGUAUGGCUGUUCGCCAUUUAAAGUGGUACGCGAGCUGGGUUUAGAACGUCGUGAGACAGUUCGGUCCCUAUCUGCCGUGGGCGUUGGAAGAUUGAGAGGGGCUGCUCCUAGUACGAGAGGACCGGAGUGGACGAAUCACUGGUGUUCGGGUUGUCAUGCCAAUGGCAUUGCCCGGUAGCUAAAUUCGGAAGAGAUAACCGCUGAAAGCAUCUAAGCGGGAAACUUGCCUCGAGAUGAGUCUUCCCUGGGGCUUAAAGCCCCCUGAAGGAACGUUAAAGACUAUGACGUUGAUAGGCUGGGUGUGUAAGUGCAGCGAUGUAUUGAGCUAACCAGUACUAAUGAUCCGUGAGGCUUAACCUUACAACACCGAAGGUGUUU